Molecule: long non-coding RNA, 756 nt
Filed under: Eucalyptus grandis
Lineage: Eukaryota; Viridiplantae; Streptophyta; Magnoliopsida; Myrtales; Myrtaceae
Description: long non-coding RNA (EGRA_LNC002425)
Source: RNAcentral
GAGAGUGGGGAGCAAGAGAGCUGGAGUGAAAAGAAAAGGAGUGGAGAGGAAGGAGGUGGAGGAGGUGGAGGUGGAGGUGGGGCUGGGUUGGGGGUUGGGUUGGGGGGAACGUGAUCUUUGAAGGGACGUUCGGAGUUCGGCUGAACGGGACAGGGCUUACUUGGUACUCGCCAGGGCUGUGUCCCUGUCCAAGCUUAAGGUUCAUCUUAAGGUUCAUCCAUACAUCAAUUAGUUUGAGCGCGCAAUUUUUCACACUGCCAAGGCACAUGGAUAGCCCCUAGAAUCGUUUAUGAUGGAUUAAUACCACGAACAACUAUUAAAUUCAUUUCAAAUUGAUUUUUUUAUCAUCAAAAUCACAAAUUGAUGUAACUAUGAUAAAUUUAUCAUUAAAACCACAAAUUGAUAUACUUAUGAUAAAUUUACCAUUCGUUAGUUUCCAUUAAAUUUUACCUUCAAAUUAUUGAAAUAGUUUAUCAAUGUACUAGUUUUGAAUUUUACCCUUUGUUAGUCACAAAUGUAUCAUUAAUUCAGUUUAACAUAAAUUAACAUAAGGUAAAUUCGUACAGCUCUUUAGUGGUAAAAAAGAUUAAUUUUGGUUAAUUUGUCACAAGUACAUUGAUUUAGGGUUUUUCGUGUGAUCAAAAUAUUGAUUUGGGAUAAAUUUAUUACAGACAUACUAAUUUUGGAUUUUUUAUGAUAUUUACGCUAACAAGGUAAUGCUACGACAGGAUCUUAGUGCGACCAAAACGCCUUAUC